This 253-nucleotide ribosomal RNA is filed under the name uncultured bacterium. RNAcentral describes it as "partial 16S ribosomal RNA". It matches the Rfam family "Bacterial small subunit ribosomal RNA", at positions 524 to 776 of the family's 1533-position model. The record is from RNAcentral.
GACGAAGGGGGCAAGCGUUGUUCGGAAUUACUGGGCGUAAAGGGUGCGUAGGCGGCCCUUUAAGUCAGAUGUGAAAGCCCGCGGCUUAACCGCGGAACUGCAUUUGAAACUGGAGGGCUUGAGUGUCGGAGAGGGUAGUGGAAUUCCCAGUGUAGCGGUGAAAUGCGUAGAUAUUGGGAGGAACACCAGUGGCGAAGGCGACUACCUGGACGAUAACUGACGCUGAGGCACGAAAGCUAGGGGAGCAAACAGG